AACUAGAUAUGCUAGGGGUACAAAAACAACCAGCUAAACAUCAAAUUAAGAGUCCAUGUUAUUGACUCUCCAAAGUCUUUGGAUCCUUAUGUUUUCAUCUGUUUGUUGAACAUUCCUCAUCAAAACAAGCUUAUCGCGAAUGAUACAUUCGAUUUGAUCAAAAACCAAAUUCGAAGCUUUAGACACAUCUGCAAAGAUCCUUGCGUUCCGUUCUUGCCAGAUACAAUACACUGUAGCUGUGAAACCCAGUUUACGAGAAAAGUUGACGAAACUUUUGCCAUGCCAAG
RNAcentral lists this long non-coding RNA (287 nucleotides) under Populus tremula. RNAcentral's name for it is "long non-coding RNA (PTRE_LNC001223)". The record is from RNAcentral. Lineage: Eukaryota; Viridiplantae; Streptophyta; Magnoliopsida; Malpighiales; Salicaceae.